GUCCCUGUAGCGCAAUGAAUAGCGCAUUGGAUUUCUAAUCCAAAGGUCGUGGGUUCGAAUUCCACUUAGGAUG
This 73-nucleotide transfer RNA is filed under the name Trichonephila clavata. It matches the Rfam family "tRNA". Rfam says of the family: Transfer RNA (tRNA) molecules are approximately 80 nucleotides in length. Their secondary structure includes four short double-helical elements and three loops (D, anti-codon, and T loops). Lineage: Eukaryota; Metazoa; Arthropoda; Arachnida; Araneae; Nephilidae. The record is from Rfam by way of RNAcentral.